AUUGAACGCUGGCGGCAUGCCUUACACAUGCAAGUCGAACGGCAGCACGGGAGCAAUCCUGGUGGCGAGUGGCGAACGGGUGAGUAAAGUAUCGGAACGUGCCCAGUCGUGGGGGAUAACGUAGCGAAAGAUACGCUAAUACUGUCUACGAUCUAUGGAUGAAAGCGGGGGAUCGCAAGACCUCGCGCGAUUGGAGCGGCCGAUAUCAGAUUAGGUAGUUGGUGGGGUAAAGGCUCACCAAGCCGACGAUCUGUAGCUGGUCUGAGAGGACGACCAGCCACACUGGGACUGAGACACGGCCCAGACUCCUACGGGAGGCAGCAGUGGGGAAUUUUGGACAAUGGGCGAAAGCCUGAUCCAGCCAUGCCGCGUGCAGGAUGAAGGCCUUCGGGUUGUAAACCGCUUUUGUACGGAACGAAAAGGUUUGGCCUAAUAAGCUGAGCUCAUGACGGUACCGUAAGAAUAAGCACCGGCUAACUACGUGCCAGCCGCCGCCGUAA
Molecule: ribosomal RNA, 500 nt
Filed under: uncultured bacterium
Lineage: Bacteria
Description: partial 16S ribosomal RNA
Rfam family: Bacterial small subunit ribosomal RNA
Source: RNAcentral